Molecule: long non-coding RNA, 3768 nt
Organism: Haplochromis burtoni (Burton's mouthbrooder)
Lineage: Eukaryota; Metazoa; Chordata; Actinopteri; Cichliformes; Cichlidae
Exons: 2
Source: RefSeq, a predicted model, not a curated record
UUAAUUACUUUUGAAAAUAAGUAAUCAGUAAAGUAAUGUGAUUACUUUUUUUGGGAAUUAAUUGGUAAUUAGUUACUGAUUACUUUUUUCAAGUAACUUGACCAACACUGUUGGUCACUGACUGAAAUAUUAUGUGACAGAUUAGAAGGUGGGCAUUUUGUUAGUGUGAUGUCAAGUUUAUAUUUUUUUAAUGAUUUUCCAUGUUUUCAUGUGUUAAGUGCAUAUUCUAAAUUAUUAUCAUUAAAUUCUGAGUUUUUUUUUUUUUUAAUGUUCUAGUCUUGUUGAGUCCCAGUUUCCAUUGUCUCAGUGGUCAUGAUGGUACUUAUGUGAAUGUUUGAGUAUAAAACUUACAAUGUUUACAGUUUUAAACCAGUCAAGCAGACAUGUCAGCACUGCAGCUAUUAAUAAUAGCUAUUAAAACAAUACCUCUUUUUAUACUAGAAAUGUAUUCUGGUACUGCCUUAAGUUUUUGUUUUGGCUGCUUCACUUUUGUAAAAGGUUAAUUAGCAUAUUUAACAGCUGUUUAUAAACAAGCUUCUAAAGUCAUGUCAAUGAAACCCUCUGUUUUGUGUUGAAUUCAUUUGAGAACUACGAGUAUACAAACUUAAGACAGAAAGCAAAGUCAGCAAAAACAGAAUUUAUGAAAUGUGCAGUGUCAAAGGUCACAUUAUACUUUCAUGUUUUCGCAGAUCUGUUGAUUUGCUGUUUGCAGUUCAGGAAAACUUGAGGUGUUUUCUUACAUUUAAUGUAAAUGACUCUGAAUUGGAUGGUGGCUGGUUGGAGGGCAUACUGUAUGUAUUAUUACAUGUUGCCUACCUUCAGUACCGGAAGGGGGCCACAGCAGCGUGUUGUUUUAUUUUUAUUUUAGGAUAGAAACUGUUGACUCAUUUUGUCUGGAUCUUGUUGCUGAAUUUGCGUUUCGAUUUAAUAAUGGAUGUAAAGAUAUUUUUCGCCUUUUGCAUAGCUGAGUAUGGUAAAUUCAGUUACAUAAAUUUUAAUCCUUGUUAGCAUUAGCAACACUUGCGUGUGUAUUUUAAAUCUACACUUUAUAUUAUUUAUCAAGUUUUUGUUCUUUUCUUUAAACCUAACAAUGAAGACAUGACACUUUCUGUUUUCUAAACCUUUUGAAAAAGUAAGAUCAGUAAAACUGUUUUAAUUUUUAAUGUAUAUCCAUGCACUGCACAUGAUAACAGUGGUUCUCAAGCUGUGGAACAUGGACCAGGUAUUGAAGCAUCAUGGGAAAAAAAGUUUUUGAUUGUUUUUUGUUGCUUUUGUAAAGGUCAUUAAAAACAAGAGCCUGUUGCUCUUAUUGCCAACUUUUAACUAAAAUUCAUCUUGUAUCUUUUUGAUUUGUUAAUGACUGUUUAAUUACUUGACUAAUUACAAACUCCUUGGUGUGGGCACAAAACAUUUUUUUUAAUUAUUUAUUUUUGCAUUUUGGCAUGUCAGAAAGUUUGAGAACCAAUGUGUUAAAGCAGAAAACUAUUUAUCACCAUUAAUUAUUAUUAUAUUUUAAUACCAAAUAGCCUAUACUGGUGCCUCAAAUGGCUGAAGAAGUUUUACAUUUAUUUCAUUUUUUUGUGUGUGUUGUUUUGCUCUUUUUGUAGUUUUAGAUCUGUUGCAGUGUUUGAUCAAUGACUGUAGAAAACAUGGACGACGUGAUAGCUCCCAAAAAAUGAAGCCAAAACGUCUCUGUCGCCCCCUGGUGUCUGGCUGAAGUAUAGGUCAUAAACCUCGCCUCCUCCAUGUUAGUGGAUAUGAUUCUUUCUUUUGUUAUCAAUAGUUCUCAUCGCGUUGAUUCAUGUCUAAGGGGUCUCCUUUCCCAUAAGUUUGAUUCUAAUUACUAACGGGGCGAUGUUAAAUUGGGGUGUAACGUCAUCAUAGCAGCUUUGACUGACAGCUGCAGUCACGGGGAAACUUGCGUAUCUCUGUUCAGGAAUAGCAGAUCGAGCAUAGGCUCUGAGAGGAGGGCCAGCGUUUACGUUACAAAACCACGACCGACUGUUUUAACCUGACAGCCUGAGGUGUUCUUCAGUAAACUGGACAACCCGACAGAAGGAUCCGAGGCCCUGCUGCACUUUUUCAGAGCUGCCCUCAGAUUUGGACCUCAGCACCAACCAGUGACAGCAGACAGAUCAUCCAUCAUGUUCACAUGUUAGCUGCAAAAUGAACUGAUGAAAACAGUACAAAGGUUAAAGUACCACAUGUGCUGUCAGUGAAAGCUGCAGCUGUUUUAUUGACAAAGUUAAAGACAACAAGUCAAAAGGACUAAUCACCCAUGUAACUGUGUCACUAUAUAUCAGCAUUAACAGGACCUCAGCUUGGUUUUUCAGCGAGCUGCUGAUCUCAGACCUGCACAGCUUCUGUUUUAAACACUUGAUGUACUCAGCUGCAUGAAAAGCACAGCUGAUUUUCUCUGACACAAUUAAAUAAAACCUGAUGAAGCUCAAAGGUCAUCACUUGUAUGACAAACUUGUGAUCUGGAAUUCCUUUACAGUUUUUUGCACAUUAAAAAAAAACGAGUAUUUAUAACAUUACACAAACCAAAGGUCUCCAUCACAGUGUUCAUGAAAUGCUGGGUUUAUCCAUCUCCUGGGGUCAGCCUGCGGUGGAGCUCUGAAGAUUUCCCUGUGAGGGAGCUGCUGGUGAAGAUCAUGAGUCCUGCUUGAUCAGUGCAAUGAGCUUCAGUGUUCCUGGUGAUUCUUAAAUAAAGCCUCUCUCAGUGGGUCAACAGAACAUCUGGCACAGGACAGCUGUGCCAGAUGUUCACCUACAACCUCACAUGCAGUCAGCCUGGCAUCCAGAGCCACACCACCAAUCUCAGGAUUUUCUGUAAGUCAGGUGUGGCCAGUGCUAUCCUCUAUGAUGUUGCAUGCUGGGGCGGCAGGUUGAAGGUUGAAGGAUGCCGACAGAGUCAAUAAACUGAUCCAUAAGGCCAGUAAUGUUGUGUGUAUGGAGCUGCACUCUUUUAAGGUGGUGUCGAAGAGGCCAUUUACCAUUUACAAUGUUGUCCAAGAUAAGGACAAUGUUGGACAAUACCAAUACCUCCCACCCGGGUGAAUUUUGUACAUUACAUGAAUUAAAUAAAAUAGACAAUCUGAAAUUUUUAAAUGAAAAAUCUGAAAUGUACAUUGUCCUGGUGGGUGUUAGAGUGUCUAGAAGAGUCCUGUCUCAGUCGGUUUUGUUUUCUGUUUUUCUUAAUGUUACUGUACUGGAGCAACUGUAACUCGCAUAAUUUCCCUAGGGAUUAAUAAAGUAUUCUGAUUGUGAUUCUGAUAAAGCUUGAAGCAGCUCUGGCUGUUAGAACCAGCACUGAGUACUGUUAAUUUAUACAGUGUUUAUACAGCAUAUCCUUGCCUGUGAUUCAUUCAUCAGGAGAUUUUUUUAUGUGCACAUGUUUUCAGUUAUUGUAUCUCUUGGCUUAAUUACAGCCUUAGCAGCAUCUCUAAGAAGAAGACCGCUGUAAACCUUUUGCCAAUAAUCAGAAAAAAAUACUAUUGAUCCAGGUGGUAUUCUUGGGAGUUUAACACUAAAACUGAACUCAAGCAGUGAAUUCUCAUCAGACUGGAUUUAAUAAUUAAUAAUGCAUCUUCUCUCUACCUAUCUAUUCACCUUGUCUGUAAAUGUCAUGGUUGGCUGUGUGGCAGGCGGGCAAGCAGGAGUGGUGGAUCCAAAAUGCAGGACUCAGACACAGAAGUUCAACUUAAAGCGCAGCUUUAUUGCUGGAAAACCUCUUACUAACUAAACUCACCAAAAGACAAACAAAAA